AUUGAACGCUGGCGGCAUGCUUUACACAUGCAAGUCGAACGGUAACAGGGUGCUUGCACCGCUGACGAGUGGCGAACGGGUGAGUAAUGCGUCGGAACGUGCCGAGUAGUGGGGGAUAACGCAGCGAAAGUUGUGCUAAUACCGCAUACGUACUGAGGUAGAAAGUGGGGGACCUUCGGGCCUCACGCUAUUCGAGCGGCCGACGUCUGAUUAGCUAGUAGGUGAGGUAAAGGCUCACCUAGGCGACGAUCAGUAGCGGGUCUGAGAGGAUGAGCCGCCACGCGGGGACUGAGACAGGGCCCAGACUCCGACGGGAGGCAGCGGUGGGGAAUUUUGGACAAUGGGCGAAGGCCUGACUCAGCCAUGCCGCGUGUCUGAAGAAGGCCUUCGGGUUGUAAAGGACUUUUGUCAGGGAGGAAAUCCCUAGUGCUAAUAACACUGGGGGAUGACAGUACCUGAAGAAUAAGCACCGGCUAACUACGUGCCAGCCGCCGCCGUAA
This 500-nucleotide ribosomal RNA is filed under the name uncultured bacterium. Its description in RNAcentral is "partial 16S ribosomal RNA". It matches the Rfam family "Bacterial small subunit ribosomal RNA", at positions 29 to 523 of the family's 1533-position model. The record is from RNAcentral.